AGUGAACGCUGGCGGUAGGCCUAACACAUGCAAGUCGAACGGCAGCACAGUAAGAGCUUGCUCUUACGGGUGGCGAGUGGCGGACGGGUGAGGAAUACAUCGGAAUCUACUUUUUCGUGGGGGAUAACGUAGGGAAACUUACGCUAAUACCGCAUACGACCUACGGGUGAAAGCAGGGGAUCUUCGGACCUUGCGCGAGCGAAUGAGCCGAUGUCGGAUUAGCUAGUUGGCGGGGUAAAGGCCCACCAAGGCGACGAUCCGUAGCUGGUCUGAGAGGAUGAUCAGCCACACUGGAACUGAGACACGGUCCAGACUCCUAAGGGAGGCAGCAGUGGGGAAUAUUGGAACAUGGGCGCAAGCCUGAUCCAGCCAUACCGCGGGGGUGAAGAAGGCCUUCGGGUUGUAAAGCCCUUUUGUUGGGAAAGAAAAGCAGCAGGUUAAUACCCCGCUGUUCUGACGGUACCCAAAGAAUAAGCACCGGCUAACUUCGUG
Molecule: ribosomal RNA, 492 nt
Filed under: uncultured bacterium
Lineage: Bacteria
Description: partial 16S ribosomal RNA
Rfam family: Bacterial small subunit ribosomal RNA
Source: RNAcentral